This 112-nucleotide ribosomal RNA is filed under the name Acanthosepion pharaonis. The record is from RNAcentral. Lineage: Eukaryota; Metazoa; Mollusca; Cephalopoda; Sepiida; Sepiidae.
ACAGUCAAAUCACGCUGAAACACCGGUUCUCGUUCGAUCACCGAAGUUAAGCAUCGUAGAGCCAGGUCAGUACUUAGAUGGGAGACCGCUUGGGAACACCUGGUACUGUAAG